Molecule: ribosomal RNA, 458 nt
Filed under: uncultured bacterium
Lineage: Bacteria
Description: partial 16S ribosomal RNA
Rfam family: Bacterial small subunit ribosomal RNA
Source: RNAcentral
UGGGGAAUUUUGGACAAUGGGCGAAAGCCUGAUCCAGCCAUCCCGCGUGUGCGAUGAAGGCCCUUCGGGUUGUAAAGCACUUUUUGGCAGGGAAGAAACAGCCUGGGAUAAUACCCCGGGCGACUGACGGUACCUGCAGAAUAAGCACCGGCUAACUACGUGCCAGCAGCCGCGGUAAUACGUAGGGUGCAAGCGUUAAUCGGAAUUACUGGGCGUAAAGCGUGCGCAGGCGGUUCGGAAAGAAAGGUGUGAAAUCCCAGGGCUUAACCUUGGAACUGCACUUUUAACUACCGAGCUAGAGUACGUCAGAGGGGGGUAGAAUUCCACGUGUAGCAGUGAAAUGCGUAGAGAUGUGGAGGAAUACCGAUGGCGAAGGCAGCCCCCUGGGAUGAUACUGACGCUCAUGCACGAAAGCGUGGGGAGCAAACAGGAUUAGAUACCCUGGUAGUCCACGCCCU